UAAAAAAGGGUUCGCUGUUACAUUUAUCUCAUUUUUUAAAUCAAUUUUUAUUAUGGUGCAUUCUUGCAGUGCAUACAACUGCACAGAAAGAUAUAAAAAUGGUUCAGACAUAUCAAUUCAUGGAUUUCCAGAAGAUUUAUUAAUUCGGAAUAAAUGGAUUGUUGCAAUAUGUAAUAAAUAAUCGUACAUUGUUUGUGGUUGGAGUUUAAAAAAGCAACUUAAAAAAGAUGCUAUACUUGGAAUUAAAUGAUUUGUGGAAAUUACCAAUCAGCUACUUUUUAAUUAAUGAAAUCUCAGCAAUUCAAAAGAGUUACUUGGUAAAAAUGUGUUUAAAAAUAUUAAGCGAAGUUGAAAUUACUAUAACAAGUUUAACUUUUGAUGGUGUUUCGUCUAAUAUUAGUAUGGCUAAUCAUCUUGGAGUUGAUUUUUCUGUUAACUCUACUUGCACAUGCUUUUCACAUCCAGUUGCAAAAAAGCCAGUUUACAUUAUAAUGGAUCCUCCACACAUGUUAAAACUGAUAAGAAAUAAUUUUGGUUUGCACAAAAUAAUGUUUGAUUCUAAUAAUUAACCAAUAAAAUGGGAUUAUGUUGAAAAGUUAGUAGCUAUUCAAGAAAAGGAAGGGCUGCAUUUAGCAACAAAACUUACAAAAAGACAAAUUGGUUUCAA
Hydra vulgaris (swiftwater hydra) is the source of this 667-nucleotide long non-coding RNA. RefSeq lists it as uncharacterized. NCBI's taxonomy places the organism in Eukaryota, Metazoa, Cnidaria, Hydrozoa, Anthoathecata, Hydridae. The record is from RefSeq and is a predicted model, not a curated record.